AGCCAUUGGAAGAGAUAUCCAAUUCAACGAGGUUAGAGAGGUUACCAAUUCCGUAAUUCAGAGGCCCUGAGAACCUAUUUUCUUGAAGGUGCACUAUUCUGAGAUGUUGUAACCGGAAUAAAUUCUCAGGGAAAGUUCCCGAUAGACCAUUGCCAUUAAGAUAAACAUACUGCAAUGAAGUACAAUUCUCCAAAUAUGUUGAAGUUUCUCCGAACAAGUUAUUUGCAAGAUCAAGAUACUGGAUAUUAGAUGAAGUUUUACAAAUUUCUGAGGUAAGGAUGCUUGAGAAAUAAUUCUUUGAAAGGUCAAAAUACUUCACUGAGGGCAAAUGGAUUAUGGUGGGAAGUGAACCAACGAAAUAAUUGUUACUCAAGUCAAGGACUUCCAGGUUCUGGAAACGAAACAAGUUGGCAGGAAUUUCACCAUCGAGAGAAUUAUGAGAGAGGUUCAGGAUUCGUAGUUGCUCCAAUCCAACCAAACUCUCACAUAUGGUUCCUGAAAGUCUUUUGUUCCCAAGCUCUAGCCCAACCACUCUUUCAUUUAAAACAGAGGAAUUAUCACAAGUGAUACCUGUCCAGGAGCAGCAAUUGAGGUUGUUCCAGUUCCACCCGCCAAUAUCUGAUUCUAAACACUUGAUGAAACCUUUGAGGGCUGUUAAGUCAUUCCAAUUGCAUGCCGGUUGUUGAGAUCCCUGGAUCCUUUGCCCAAACAUGACAACCAACAAAAUGAAAGCCAAAGAGACCUUUGGGAUGCCCAUGAAGGUCAAUUUAACAAAAGGAAGCAAGGAGUUGUUACUGGUUUUUGCUAUGCUAUGAUGUUAUACAUUUUCCUUCUUUUUUGGUUUCCUCUGUAACGUUUUAAGGGGGACGAAAGUCGCAGAACCCAUGACUUUUGUGGGAGCUUGGACAAUCCAUCACUGUUGCUUCUUUACUUCGGAAAGAUGAUUAAAUGAUCUUAUUGACUUGUUCAACCAAAAUUAGUCCAUAUCCCCGUACGCGUUCGUUCAUAAACCCAUAGUUUCUGUCAAAAAACAAAAGACCAUUGAUAAACUUCAUGUCCGCAUGAGAUCGUUUUACAGUGAAGGUUUACCAAUAUUUUGACAAGAAAUAAUACAUUAACAUCUGAUACACACGUAAUGUGUUGAUUAAUCAUUUCAUUGCUUUCCAUUAAUGGACAUUUUUGUUUAUAGGCCAAUGUGUAACAAAUGAUUAAUGUUUAUCGUCAUUAAAGCAAUAAUUAUUGUAAGCAUUAAUCAUUGUAAGCUAAAAUCAAUUUACUGGUGUCAUUGGCUCCAUUAUUAACUUGAUGACUGUUAUAUGCUUAACUUUCAUUUUUAGGUGUGUAAAAAAUAAAAUUUAUUAUAUCAUAAUUCAUAUCGAUAUAUUUAAUAUAAAAUAUAUAUUUAAUUUUUUUUAAACUCAUAAAAUUUUUAUUAAAAUUUUAAAUAAUUUUAUUUUUAUAAUUUUUAUAUCACUUUUAUAUCAUAUUAUCAUAGUUAAAAUUAUCAAAUAUAUUUAUAUGAACGAAUUUAACCACUCAACUACAUUUUCAUUGUACAUAUAAAUGCAACCACUUAGAUAAAUAUUACCUUAUCCUCUUACUGAAUUGUUGCUUAGGAACACUUUGUAGAGAAGAUAUUUUGGAUUUUCCUUUUAUUUGAAUAUUGCUAUAGCCUAUGGGUGCCAAGCAUGAAAGGUUAAUUCUUGCAGUCUUAGUUCAGCUGAUGGGUUUGUAAGAUCAAACGGGCUGCAAGAAUUGUGAUGAUGAAAAUAAGCGGAGUUAUGGAAGCAUCCUUGUUGACUAAGGGUUCAUUUAUACGAGCAGUAAGAUUGAUUUUGAUAAAUUUGAAAAUAAUGAUAAAAAUAAAAUUAAUUAUUAUAAUAAUAAAAUUAAAUAUUAUAAUAUUAAAAUUAAAAUUAAUGAUGAGAUAUGUGUUUAAAUAAUAAAAUAAUUAUGAUGGUGAGAUGAAAAUACAAAAUUAUUAUUAAGUAUUUUAUUUUAAAAGUUUAUUGAUAAAUUAUUUAUAUAUUUUUUAAUAUAUUUAUAAUAUUAAAAAAAUUUUAAAAUUUUAACUCAAUAAAACAAUAAACAUAUUAUUUGUUAUAUAAUAAUAAAAUUUAUUUAUCAUAUAAUAAUAAAAUUUUAUUUAUAUUAAAUUAAUAAAAUUAUUUUAAAAAUUUUUAAAUAAAAAAUCAAAAUAAAAAAAUAAAAGUCAAAUGGCAUGAAAAUCCUUAAAACAAUAAGGGCAAAAAAUAAUACUAGCGAUGGGCAAAAUAGGAAUAAAAGUCAGUUGAAUCUCAACUAAAGCUCCAAUAACGAGACCCUCGCGCCUCACUGGUGUUAUCCAAACACCUGGACAGUGCGAUUUGCACCAAAAAAAGGGGACCAAUUGCGCUGAAACGGAAGCGCGAUGACUUCCAAAUGAGCCCUAAAUGGAUCAGAAUUGGAGAAGUCUUAACUAACUCGUGUUGAUGGGAAACUAUUGGGAUUAUUUAGUAUUUACUGUAAUUUUAGCAAAGUUUUUUUUUUUUUUAAUUUUACAUGUAUUAGCUGGAUUUAUUUGCUUGUAAAAUACUUCUAGCUGCCCUUGUUCCCACGUAAUUUCACUGCAGUGGUAAGGGAGACUUCCAUCUAUUUGUCCGUAUGACAGGAGACUUCCAUCUAUUUGUCCAUAUGACACGAGACAUCUUUCCUUGACCAACGUAAGGAAAAUAAUGAAAACUGCUCCUCCAACUCCAUGACCUCAUCAGUUUUUUGGCUUUGCCUAGAAAAGUCUUUAAGAGAUGAUAAAGAAUAAUUCUUUUUCUUUUUAAUAUAUGUUAUAUGGUAUAGUUAUAAUCAUUGAUUUUUUAUACGCCCAUGUUAUGUGCAACCAUAACAAACAUAUAUACUAUAUCAAUAUGAUCUCAUUCAGAACCCAAACCAUCAUCAUAUACGGGAAUAAAAGUAUAGUUUCUUCUUCCUGAUAAUUUUCCAGAUAAAUGAUCACUUGCUUUUCCUUAAAUUCUGAUAUGGCAAUAGACCAUGAUUAGGAAUGUAUCCUUUCCAGCUCUUUUCUUUAUAAAUCAUCCAUAAUGAGUACAUGAUAUGCAUCCAUGAUCCAUACAUGCCAAAAGUUGAGCCCGUUAUCCUACUUUUAUCUUAAACUUAUCUGUAAGAGGACAAAUCUGUCGCUCUUAUUGAAGUGUUACUUGGGAAUUUUGCAUUUUGGAAUUUUGGAAGAGGAUAGAAUGCCAUCACUUUGUUAUGACAGUGCUUCUGCUUGCAUUAUUAAUGCUUCAUUCAUACCCUUAAAAAUUUAUUUCAUAGAGAAGAUUUUUGGAAUUCCUGACUUCAAUAUCAUAGAUGCCAAGCAAGGAAAAGGUUAAUUCCUGAAAAGAAGAGUUCAGUUGAUGAGUUCCAGGAAUGGAAGGGCUUGGAAGGUGUGUGAUUAUGCAAAAUGUGCCGGAGAAUGCAACCAUCCUGUUUGAACGAGCUGCUUUUGGGACUGCAUCUAACAGCCACGGCCAUAUAUUAUAUAGAAAUUUUACCGUUUUACGUUUUGCAAGGAUAGGAAUGAUGGUUUCUCCAAUUAUUUUACCUCAGUGGAAAAGUAUCAGCUCCUUCCCUUCAAUUCUUUAGUUGAAAGGAAAAAGUUAAGGCAGAGAUUCUGCAUAUUUCGUUGAUCAUUAUUUUUGCAAGAGUGGAAAUUGUAAAUUUGAAACGUUGAUAGUAGAAUAUAAUUAUUUGGCUGAUGUAACAAGACAUUUCAUUUUUCUUCUCUUGGAGUCACAGAAGGUGAAGGCUUGAAGGUACAGAAGUUCCAGACGGUGGCUGUUAUGGAAAAUAUCAUAAAUUAGAACUAUGAUAGUAAGCUUUACGGUUUAUCUUCAAUCAUUACAACAUCAACAAAUUUAAGAGAAACUAAAGGAAGAAGAAAGAACCAUAUGGGGAUAAGCAGAGGAGCUAUAUAUAUAUAUAAAGAAUAUGCUUCUCAUCCUUUGCAAAGUACCCAGCCAGACUUGAAGCAAAAGGCGACAGUGAGACCGAAACCAACUGUCAAUCCAAUACCAAAAUUCCAAUCCACAAUCUUCAUUCCUUUACCUGGGGACACAAUUGGAGGAAUCAGUUUUGUUUGACAAGGUCUAAUUAUUCCAUGGCAGAGAGCCUCGUUCCCUUCAAAGCUUGAAUAAGGGAAUGUCAUAAACUGACCUCCUGAAGGUAUAUUCCCAUAGAGCUCAUUGUAUGAUACAUUGAAUUUUGACAAAAAGCUGAGAUGUACCAGAGAAUUAGGUAUUUCGCCAGAGAGUUUGUUACAAGACAAAUCCAACACUUCCAAGUUUGUCAUCCCUGAUACACUAUCUGGAAUGGUUCCUGAAAGUUUGUUCCCUUUCAAACUCAAAACAUGAAGCUUUUUCAAAUUUCCAAAGCUUAUCCAGAUUGGUCCGGUAAGCUUGUUGAAACUCAAGUCAAUAGUCGCUGGCAAGCCCCAUAUAUUGUUAUAAAUCAAGCGCGGCCCACCUUGUUCUAUGCUUUUUUCCAUUGGGAAGCCUGCCGAGAGUUCCUUCAGUUGAACAGUAUCGUUAACAAGACUAUCAAGUCCAGUUAAACUUUCUGGUAUUUCUCCGGAAAAGGAAUUGUUAGACAAGUCCAAGUAAAUGAGAUAUCUGAAAUCGCCUACCCAAAAAGGAAUGGACCCUCCCAAUGAAUUCCAAGACAGAUCCAGAAAUUGCAACAUUUUGCAACCCCUCAACCACAUUGGAAGGGAACCUCUAAGGUAACAAAAUGGAAUAAUAAGUGCCUUAAGACUUCUGAACUGCAAAUUGACGUUGCUAGGCAUCUGUUCGUGAUAAAAGUUCAAACCAAGGACCAGAAUGGUCAAGUUCUUGCAGUCUUGAAGAAUUUCAAGUGCUGUGGAUAUAUUAUUGAUGCUAGUGUUUGAGAGAGAGAGGAAUUGCAGUGCCUGCAGAUUUUUGAAGUGGAAUGGAAUCCCACCGGUGAAUUUGUUACGUGCAAGAUCCAGACUUCUCAAGCUCUGACAAAAGGAUAGACCAUCAGGAACUGGACCAUGAAAAUUAUUAGAAGCAAGACGAAGUGAGGUGAUACUGGUCAUUACAGAACAAUUUAUACUUACCGGACCAUCCAGACUGUUGUUGUGCAGAUCAAUCAUCAAAAUCGAAGGAGAAUUCACCAAAGAAAUAGGCAAUAAGCCACUUAAUAUGUUUGAGCCGGCAGAGAAGGACUCCAACUUUCUCAGUCUCCCAAAAACAUCUGGAAGACUUCCAUCGAAGCCAUUGGAAGAGAUAUCCAAUUCAACGAGGUUAGAGAUGUUACCAAUUCCGUAAUUCAGAGGCCCUGAGAACCUAUUUUCUUGAAGGUGCAGUAUUCUAAGAUGUUGUAACCGGAAUAAAUUCUCAGGGAAAGUUCCAGAUAGACCAUUGCCAUUAAGAUAAACAUACUGCAAUGAAGUACAAUUCUCCAAAUAUGUUGAAGUUUCUCCGAACAAGUUAUUUGCAAGAUCAAGAUACUGGAUAUUAGAAGAAGUUUUACAAAUUUCUGAGGUAAGGAUGCUAGAGAAAUAAUUCUUUGAAAGGUCAAAAUACUUCACUGAGGGCAAAUGGAUUAUGGUGGGAAGUGAACCAACGAAAUAAUUGUUACUCAAGUCAAGGACUUCCAGGUUCUGGAAACGAAACAAUUUGGUAGGAAUUUCACCAUCGAGAGAAUUAUGAGAGAGGUUCAGGAUUCGUAGUUGCUCCAGUCCAACCAAACUCUCACAUAUCGUUCCUGAAAGUCUUUUGUUCCCAAGUUCUAGCCCAACCACUCUUUCAUUUAAAACAGAGGAAUUAUCACAAGUGAUACCCGUCCAGGAGCAACAAUUGAGGCUGUUCCAGUUCCAUCCGCCAAUAUCUGAUUCUAAACACUUGAUGAAACCUUUGAGGGCUGUUAGGUCAUUCAAAUUGCAUGCCGGUUGUUGAGAUCCCUGGAUCCUUUGCCCAAACAUGACAGCCAACAAAAUGAAAGCCAAAGAGACCUUUGGGAUGCCCAUGAAGGUCAAUUUAACAAAGGGAAACAAAAGUUGUUACCGGUUUUUGCUAAGCUCUGAUGUUAUACAUUUUCCUUUUUUUUUUGGUUUCCUCUGUAACGUUUUAAGGGGGACGAAGGUCGCAGAACCCAUGACUUUGGUGGGAGCUUGGACAAUCCAUCACUGUUGCUUCUUGACUUCAAAGAUGAUUAAAUGAUCUUAUUGACUUUUUCAACCAAAAUUUGUCAACAUCCCCGUACGCGUUCGUUCAUAAACCCAUAGUUUCUGUCAAAAAAAAAAAAAAAGACCAUUGAUAAACUUCAUGUCCGCAUGAGAGUCGUUUUACAGUGAAGGUUUACCAAUAUUUUGACAAGAAAUAAUACAUUAACAUCCGAUUCACGCGUACCUGCCUCAAGAACAAUGUGUUGAUUAAUCAUUUCAUUGCUUUCCAUUAAUGGACUUUUUUGUUUAUAGGCCAAUGUGUAACAAAUGGUUAAUGUUUAAAGUCAUUAAAGUAAUAAUUAUUGUAAGCAUUAAUCAUUGCAAGCUACAAGCAACUUAUUGGUGUCAUGAGCUCCACUAUUAAUUUGAUGACUGUUGUAUGCUUAACUUUCAUUUUUAUGUGUGUAAAAAAUAAAAUUUAUUACAUCAUAAUUUAUAUUGACGAAAUAUAUAUUUAAUUUUUGUUAAACUCAUAAAUUUUUUAUUAAAAUACUAAAUAAAAAUAUUUUUAUAUCAUAUUAUUGUAUUUAAAUUUAUCAAAUUUAUUUGUAUAUACAAAUUCAAUCACUCAACUAUAGUUUGAUUGUAAAUAUAAAUGCAACCACUUAGAUAAAUAUUACCUUAUCCUCUUACUGAACUGGUGAGAUGAAAAUAAAAAAUUAAUAUUAAGUACUUUAUUUUAAAAGUUCAUUGAUAAAUUAUUUAUAUAUUUUCUAUUAUUAUUUAUAAUAUUAAAAAAAUCUUAAAAUUUUAAUCAAUAAGAUCAAUGAACAUGUUAUUUAUUAUAUAAUAAUAAAAUUUAUUUAUCAUAUAAUAAUAAAAUUUUAUUUAUUAUUAAUUAAUAAAAUUAUUUUAAAAUUUAUAAAUAAAAAAAUCAAAAUAAAAAAAAAGUAAAAUGGCAUGAAAAACCUUAUAACAUUAAGGGCAAAAAUAAUAAUAAUAACAAUGGGCAAAAUAGGAAUAAAAGCCACAAUUGAAUCUCGACAAAAGUUCCAAUAAAUACACGAUGGCUCUUACCUCCAGUGAAUGAACGGAGGCCCUCGCACCUCAACGGUGUUAUCCAAACACCCGGACGGUGCGAUUUGCACCAAAAAAAGGGGACCAAUUGCGCUGAAACGGAAGCGCGAUGGCUUCCAAAUGAGCCCUAAAUAGAUCAGAAUUGGAAAAGUCUUAACUAACUCAUGUUGAUGGGAUACUGUUGGGAGUAUUUAGUAUUUACUGUAAUUUUAGCAAAGCCUUUUUUUUAAUUUUACACGUAUUAGCUGGAUUUAUUUGCUUCUAAAAUACUGCUAGCUGCCCUUGUUCCCACUUAAUUUCACUUCAGUAGGAAGAGAGACUUCCAUCUAUUUGCCCAUAUGACAUGAGACAUCUUUCCUUGACUAACGCAAGGAAAACAAUGAAAACUCCUCCUCCAACUCUGUGACCUAAUUUGUUUUUUGGCUUUGCUUAGAAAAGUCCUUAAGAGAUGAUAAAGAAUAAUUCUUUUUCUUUUUAAUAUAUGUUAUAUGGUAUAGUUAUAAUCAUGGAUUUUUUAUAUGCUCAUGUCAUGUGCAACCAUAACAAACAUAUAUACUAUAUGAAUAUGAUGAUCUCAUACAGAACCCAAACCAUCAACAUAUAUGGGAAUAAAAGUAUAGUUUCUUUUUCCUGAUAAUUUCCAUCCUUAAAUUCUGAUAUGGCAAUAGACCAUGAUGAGGAAUGUAUCCCUUCCAGCUCUCUUCUUGAUAAAUCAUCCAUAAUGAGUACAUGAUAUGCAUCCAUGAUCCAUACAUGCCAAAAGUUGAGCCCGUUAUCUUACUUUUAUCUUAAACUUAUCUGUAAGAAGACAAAUCUGUCGCACUUAUUGAAGUGUUACUACGGAAUUUUGCAAUUCGGAAUUUUGGAAGAGGAUAGAAAGCCAUCACUUUGUUAUGACAGCGCUUCUGCUUGCAUGAUUAAUGCUUCAUUCAUACCCUUAAAAACUUAUUUCAUAGAGAAAAUUUUUUGAAUUCCUGACUUCAAUGUCAUAGAUGCCAAGCAAGAAUAAGGUUAAUUCCUGAAAAGAAGAGUUCAGUUGAUGAGUUCCAGAAAUCAAAGGGCUUGGAAGGUUGUGAUUAUGCAAAAUGCGCCGGAGAAUGGAAGCAUCCUGUUUGAACGAGCUGCUUUCGGGAUUGCAUCUAACAGCUAUAGCCAUAUAUUAUAGAAAUUUUACCGUUCUACGUUUUGCUAUGAUAGGAAUGAUGGUGUCUCCAAUUAUUUUACCUCAGUGGAAAGCAUCAGCUCUUUGUCUUCAAUUCUUUAGUUGAAAGGAAAAAGUUUAAGGUAGAGAUUCUGCAUAUUUCGUUAAUCAUUAUUUUUGCGAGAGUGGAAAUUGUAAAUUUGAAAAGUUGAUAGUAGGAUAUAAUUAUUUGGCUGACGUAACAAGACGUUUCAUUUUUCUUCUCUUGGAGUCAUAGAAGGUGAUGGCUUGAAGCAGCAGAAGUUCCAGACGGUGGCUGUUAUGGAAAAUAUCAUAAAUUAGAAGCAAAUUAGAACUAUGAUAGUAUGCUUUACGGUUUGUCUUAGAUCAUUACAACAUGAACAAAUUUAAGAGAAACAGAAGGAAGAAGAAAGAACCAUAUGGGGAAAAGCAGAGGAGCUAUAUAAAUAUAUAUAUAUAUAUAUAUUAUAAAGAAUAUGCUUCUCAUCCUUCGGAAAGUACCCAGCCAGACUUGAAGCAAAAGGCGACAGUGAGACCGAAACCAACUGCCGCUCCGAUACCAAAAUUCCAAUCCACAAUCUUCAUUCCUUUACUUGGAGAGACAAGUGGAGGAAUCAGUUUUGUCUGACAAGGUCUAAUUAUUCCAUUGCAGAGUUCCUCGUUCCCCUCAAAGCUUGAAUCAGGGAAUGUCAUAAACUGACCUCCUGAAGGUAUAUUCCCAUAGAGCUCAUUGUAUGAUACAUUCAAUUUUGACAAAAAGCUGAGAUGUACCAGAGAAUUAGGUAUUUCGCCAGUGAGUUUGUUACAAGACAAAUCCAACACUUCCAAGUUUGUCAUCCCUGAUAUACUAUCUGGAAUGGUUCCUGAAAGUUUGUUCUCUUUCAAACUCAAAACAUAAAGGUUUUUCAAAUUCCCAAAGCUUAUCCAGAUAGGUCCGGUAAACUUGUUGAAGCUUAAGUCAAUAGUUGGUGGCAUGCUCCAUAUAUGGUUAUAUGACAAGCGCGGCCCUCCAUGUCCCGUGCUUUUUACCAGUGGGAAGUCUGCAGAGAGUUCUUUCAGUUGAACAGUAUCGUUAACAAGGCUAUCAAGUCCAGUUAAACUUUCUGGUAUUUCUCCGGAAAAGGAAUUGUUAGACAAGUCCAAGUAAAUGAGAUAUCUGAAAUCGCCUACCCAAAAAGGAAUGGACCCUCCCAAUGAAUUCCAAGACAGAUCCAGAAAUUGCAACAUUUUGCAACCCCUCAACCACAUUGGAAGCGAACCUCUAAGGUAACAAAAUGGAAUAAUAAGUGCCUUAAGACUUCUGAACUGCAAAUUGACGUUGCUAGGCAUCUGUUCGUGAUAAAAGUUCAAACCAAGGGCCAAUAUGGUCAAGUUCUUGCAGUCUUGUAGAAUCUCAAGUGCUGUGGAUAUAUUAUUGAUGCUAGUGUUUGAGAGAGAGAGGAAUUGCAGUGCCUGCAGAUUUUUGAAGUGGAAUGGAAUCCCACCGGUGAAUUUGUUGUGUGCAAGACCCAGACUUCUCAAGCUCUGACAAGAGGAUAGACCAUCAGGAACUGGACCGUGAAAAUUAUUAGAAGCAAGACGAAGUGAGGUGAUACUGAUCAUUGCAGAACAAUUUAUACUGAUCGGACCAUGCAUACUGUUGUUGUACAGAUCAAUCUUCAAAAUCGAAGGAGAAUUCACCAAAGAAAUAGGCAAUAAGCCACUUAAUCUGUUUGAGCCAGCAGAGAAGGACUCCAACUUUCUCAGUCUCCCAAAAACAUCUGGAAGACUUCCAUCGAAGCCAUUGGAAGAGAUAUCCAAUUCAACGAGUUUAGAGAGGUUACCAAUUCCGUAAUUCAGAGGCCCUGAGAACCUAUUUUCUUGAAGGUGCAGUAUUCUAAGAUGUUGUAACCGGAAUAAAUUCUCAGGGAAAGUUCCAGAUAGACCAUUGCCAUUGAGAUAAACAUACUGCAAUGAAGUACAAUUCUCCAAAUAUGUUGAAGUUUCUCCGAACAAGUUAUUUGCAAGAUCAAGAUACUGGAUAUUAGAUGAAGUUUUACAAAUUUCUGAGGUAAGGAUGCUAGAGAAAUAAUUCUUUGAAAGGUCAAAAUACUUCACUGAGGGCAAAUGGAUUAUGGUGGGAAGUGAACCAACGAAAUAAUUGUUACUCAAGUCAAGGACUUCCAGGUUCUGGAAACGAAACAAGUUGGUAGGAAUUUCACCAUCGAGAGAAUUAUGAGAGAGGUUCAGGAUUCUUAGUUGCUCCAAUCCAACCAAACUCUCACAUAUCGUUCCUGAAAGUCUUUUGUUCCCAAGUUCUAGCCCAACCACUCUUUCAUUUAAAACAGAGGAAUUAUCACAAGUGAUACCUGACCAGGAGCAGCAAUUGAGGCUGUUCCAGUUCCACCCGCCAAUAUCUGAUUCUAAACACUUGAUGAAACCUUUGAGGGCUGUUAAGUCAUUCCAAUUGCAUGCCGGUUGUUGAGAUCCCUGGAUCCUUUGCCCAAACAUGACAACUAACAAAAUGAAAGCUACAGAGACCUUUGGGAUCACCAUGAAGGUCAAUUUAACAAAAGGAAGCAAGGAGUUGUUACUGGUUUUUGCUAUGCUAUGAUGUUAUACAUUUUCCUUCUUUUUUGGUCUCCUCUGUAACGUUUUAAGGGGACGAAGGAAGCAGAACCCAUGACUUAUGUGGGAGCUUGGACAAUCCAUCUCUCUGCUUCUUGAGUUAGGAAAGAUGAUUAAAUGAUCUUAUUGACUUGUUCAACCAAAAUUUGUCCAUAUCCCGUUACGCGUUCGUUCAUAAACCCAUAGUUUCUGUCAAAAAAAGAAAAUGACCAUUGAUAAACUUCAUGUCCGCACGAGAGUCGUUUUACAGUGAAGGUUUACCAAUAUUUUGACAAGAAAUAAUACAUUAACAGCUGAUACACACGUACCUGCCUCAAUAACAAUGUGUUGAUUAAUCAUUUCAUUAUUUUCCAUUAAUGGACUUUUUUCUUUAUAGGUCAAUGUGUAACAAGUGAUUAAUGUUUAAUUAUUGUAAGCAUUAAUCAUUGUAAGCUACAAGCAAUUUACUGGUGUCAUUGGCUUCGCUACUAACUUGAUGACUGUUGUAUACUUAACUUCCAUUUUUAGGUGUGUAAAAUAUAAAAUUUUAUUUGUCAUAAUUCAUAUUGAUAUAUUUAAUAUGAAUAUUUUUUUUUAACUCAUAACAUUUUUGUUAAAAUUUUAAACAAUAUUAUUUUUAUAUUUUUAUAUCAUUUUUAUAUCAUAUUAUUAUACUUAAAACUAUCAAAUUUAUUUAUACAUACAAAUUUAAUCACUCAACUAUAUUUUCAUUGUACAUAUAAAUGCAACCACUUAGAUAAAUAUUACCUUCUCCUCUUACUGAAUUGUUGCUUAGGAACAUUUUGUCGAGAAGAUAUUUUGGAUUUUCUUUUUAUUUGGAUAUUGCUAUAGCCUAUGGGUGCCAAGCAUCAAAGGUUAAUUCUUGAAAAGUCUUAUUUCAGCUGAUGAGUUUCUAAGAUCAAACGGUUUGCAAGAAUUGUGAUGAUAAAAAUGAGCGGAGAUAUGAAAGCAUCCUAGUUGACUAAGCAACUAUUUAGAUGAUGGAUGAUAAGAUUAGUUUUAAUAAGAUUAAAAAUUACGAUAAAAAUAAAAUUAAUUAUUAUAACGAUAAAAUUUAAUAUUAUAAUAUUAAAAUUAAAAUUAAUAGUAAAAUAUGUGUUUGAAUAACAAAAUUUGAAUAAUAAUACAAUUAUGACAGUGAAAUGAGAAUAAAAAAUUACUAUUAAGUACUUUAUUUUAAAAGUUUAUUGAUAAAUUACUUAUAUAUUUUUAUAAUAUUAUUUAUGAUAUUAAAAAAUCUUAAAAUUUUAAUUCAAUAUGAACAAUAAACAUAUUAUUUAUUGUAUAAUAAUAAAAUUUAUUUAUUCUACAAUAAUAAAUUUUUAUUUAUAUUAAAUUAAUAAAAUUAUUUUAAAAUUUAUAAAUCAAAAAAUCAAAAUGAAAAAACUAAAAGUCAAAUCGCAUGAAAAUCCUUAUAACAUUAAGGGCAAAAAAAUAAUAAAAAUAAUGGGCAAAAUAGGAAUAAAAGCCACAGUUGAAUCUCAACCAAAGCUCCAAUAAAUGCACGGAGGCUCUUACCUCCAGUGAAUGAAUGGAGGCCCUCGCGCCUCACUGCUGUUAUCCAAACACCUGGACAGUGCGAUUUGCUCCAAAUAAAGGGAACCAAUUGCGCUGAAACGGGACCACGAUGACUUCCAAAUGAGCCCAAACUGGAUCAGAAUUGGAAAAGUCUUAACUAACUGAUGUAGAUGGGAUACUGUUGGGAUACUGUAAUUUUAGCAAACCUUUUUUAUUUUUUAUUUUUAUUUUGCAUGUAUUAGCUGGAUUUAUUUGCUUGUAAAAUACUGCUAGCUGCCCUUGUUCCCACUUAAUUUCACAGCAGUGGUAAGGGAGACUUCCAUCUUUUUGUCUAUAUGACACGAGACAUCUUUCCUUGACUAACGCAAGAAAAAGGAACUCAAGUCAAUAGUCGGUGGCAAGCUCCAUAAAUUGUUAUAUGACAAGUGCGGCCCACCUUGUUCCAUGCCUUUUACCACUGGGAAGCCUGCUGGGAGUUCUUUCAGUUGAACAGUAUGGUUAACAAGGCUAUCAAGUCCAGUUAAACUUUCUGGUACUUCUCCGAAAAAGUAAUUGUUAGACAAGUCCAAGUAAAAGAGAUAUCUGAAAUCGCCAACCCAAAAAGGAACGGACCCUCCCAAAGAAUUCCAAGACAGAUCCAGAAAUUGCAACAUUUUGCAACCCCUCAACCACAUUGGAAGAGAACCUCUAAGGUAACAAAAUGGAAUAAUAAUUACCUUAAGACUUCUGAACUGCAAACUGACGUUGCUAGGCAUCUGUUCAUGAUAAAAGUUCAAACCAAGGACCAAUAUGGUCAAAUUCUUGCAGUCUUGUAGAAUCUCAAAUGCUGUCGUUACAUUAUUGAUGCUAGUGUUUGAGAGAGAGAGGAAUUUCAGUGCCUGUAGCUUUUUGAAGGGGAAUGGAAUCCCACCGGUGAAUUUGUUGCGUGAAAGAUCCAGACUUCUCAAGCUCUGACAACAGGAUAGACCAUCAGGAACUGGACCCAGAAAAUUAUUAGAAGCAAGACGAAGUGAGGUGAUACUGGUCAUUGCAGAACAAUUUAUACUGAUUGGACCUGCCGGACUGUUGUUGCGCAGAUCAAUCUUCAAAAUCGAAGGAGAAUUCACCAAAGAAAUAGGCAAUAAGCCAGUUAAUCUGUUUGAGCCGGCAGAGAAGGACUCCAACUUUCUCAGUCUCCCAAAAACAUCUGGAAGACUUCCAUCGAAGCCAUUGGAAGAGAUGUCCAAUUCAACGAGAAAUAAUUCUUUGAAAGGUCAAAAUACUUCACUGAGGGCAAAAGGAUUAUGGUCGGAAGUGAACAAACGAAAUAAUUGUUACUCAAAUCAAGGACUUCCAGGUUCUGGAAACGAAAAAAGUUGGUAGGAAUUUCACCAUCGAGAGAAUUAUGAGAGAGGUUCAGGAUUCGUAGUUGCUCCAAUCCAACCAAACUCUCACAUAUC
Molecule: long non-coding RNA, 13966 nt
Filed under: Durio zibethinus
Lineage: Eukaryota; Viridiplantae; Streptophyta; Magnoliopsida; Malvales; Malvaceae
Description: long non-coding RNA (DZIB_LNC001710)
Source: RNAcentral